This 2916-nucleotide long non-coding RNA is filed under the name Homo sapiens (human). Its description in RNAcentral is "HSALNT0301371". Lineage: Eukaryota; Metazoa; Chordata; Mammalia; Primates; Hominidae. The record is from RNAcentral.
GUUCCCCGGCUUUGCCGCGCGGAGGAAGUCCCGGUUACGCAGAGCGCGCUGGGGCAGGGCUGACCUUCCCCUUUCUCUACUUCACUGGCCUCCUCCAGACGUGGUGGUUGCGCCCUUUCGGCCUCGCUUUCCGUUUUUUGGCUUCAUCCCCUAGAUCUGCAAACAGUUCCUCGUGUUUCUUCCGUUAGCCGGGAAACGCGAACUGCAGCGUUUGGGACCCGGGUUUGCGCGUGUGGAAAGCAAAAGGGGUUACUCUGCUGGAGUUCGACAUUGCAAAUAAAGGUCUUUAUCCCCGGCGGUUCUACAAAAUUAGUUCUGCAGGGAUUCUGGUUGAAAGAAGCGUUAAAGUGGGCCUUGUAGGAGUCAGCAAUAAUCCAAUUUUACAUGGGUGCAGGUGGCUGCCUGUGUCUAGCGCUUUCACACAUCUCAUAUCUUCAUCCACGCCGUGGGUAUUUUUUUUCCACGGUGUGUUUCUGUUGCUGCCUCCAGUAUAUUGCUUAAUCAUCCUACCUGGUAAUUAUUUAUGCAUUUUUCUCCUACUCUCGACUCAGCUCCUAGGGAAUAAAAACACAUUAACUUAUCUUUGUGCCCACAGCACCCACCAAGUAUUUCCAUCACGUAAUACUGCCUCUAGAAAGGCAGGAGGAGAAGCAGUCACGCUAAGGAUCUAGGCAAGCCAGAUCUUUUGUCCGGUUUUAGGAGGUGGCCAGCCCUUACUUAUUCCACAAGUGUUUUUCCAGAAACUCAGACUUGAUAUUGCCUCAAGUCCAAGGCAGUGUGCUUCCCCCACUCACAUAUCACUAAUAGUAGCUAACAUUUGUUCAGAUCCCUGUAUGUACUCUGCCACUGUUUUAAAUGUUACACCCGGGUUACCUCAUUUAAUCCUUACAACUGCCCUGUGAGGUAGGUACUAUUAUUAUCUCUACUUUGUAGAUGGGAUUCACCGAGGCACAGACGGUUAAAAAACCUAGCCCAAAUAACACAAAUAAACAGCAGAGCAUGCAGUGCUAGAGUCUGCAUUCUUAACAAUUGCUAUAUUCUCCCUCUCCGUGAAUGUGGGCUGAGAUGCUGAAACAGGCAUGUGCUGUGGGGGAGAAAAAGCUUUGUCCAACCAAGUGCUUUCUAAUGUCCAGAUGACAUAGAGCUAGGAUUUCCUAAUGUCUUUUUUCCCCUAUUUUUCUCUCCAUUUCAGGGUUGAGUUUGUGCAUCGAUUGUGAACACAACAGGCAGCAGGCUAUAAUGGUGGUCCUGGCUGGAGUAGUUUUCACAGACUUCAGUAAUCUGUGGAGAUGAACGGGCAGUUCUCUGUAGUUUUCACAGAUCACUGCCAGUUCGUUUUGAGGCCUUCAGGAGUGAAGACCUGGCUCAUCAUCACUCUUUGUUGUUUUGUUAAAUUUAUUUACACCCUACUUUAUUCCAGAGGAAAGGAUUUAACGUAGUUUACAUAAAUGUGUACAUCAGGGUAAAUUAAAAAUAAGUACAGAGAAAAAUAGGACAAAAGAAAACCGUGAGUGUGAAAGAUAAGAUUAAGCCAGCAGUUUUGUAUGCAAAAUGCAUGGUGUAAGGUCCUAUUGGUUUGCUGGAGGUAGGCCACACAUAUGACUCUCAGUUUUCUAGCAACCAAGAAAAAGAUCAGUUGCAAUCGGAGUAGGUGUUUUGGCUAAGCUGGAACUAGGACUUGAAUAUAGCAGCUUGUAGAGUUAUACCACUUGCCCAAAUCUCUUCCAUGAGCCUCUUUAAGUGUAACAGAAUGCCUGGGAGCACGUAAAUGCUCCUACUUAGAUGCCUACUUAGCCUCUAAUUUUCAUGGGGCCCAUGAAUCCCAUGAAAAAGAACUUUGAACCCUGUCCACAAUUAGAGUUCAGGUAUACGCAGACAUGUUUAAAGACAAGGGACACCCAAAGGAAAGAUUGCACAGAGAGAAAGUGAGCAUCCGAGAGAAAAUCACCACAAGUGAGGCAGAGGGAGGCCGGUCUCAGCAGAGUUUUGGAGGUCGUGAGAAGAAGAGGUAGGAGAUAGGAGAGUGGUUCCGAGUACUUGCCUGCUGAUGUUACCUUCUCCACCCCCACCAGGUUUUCCAGUGCCUGGAGUCUUGGGCAGGAAUGGGCCACUGUAAGAAAGAGCUUUAUCACUAGGGCCUCAGCCAACUUUUCUGUGGGAUAUCCCUCCAAAAUAAUUAAGAGUUCAGAAUGCUUCAGAUUUUGAAGUGAAACUGGUACAUAUAUUAAGUGUUACUUAAUAACCCGAUAGUUUCUAGGGCAGCUCACCAUAAUCCCAAGUAUUAGCCACCACCCUCACCCCCUUCAGAGUAAAAUGUGUUUCCUGAAGGAAGUUGGGAAAAUGAAGAAAAAAAAUACAAAAAUCACCUAUAAUCUUACCAGUCAUAGAUGGCAGUUUUCCUGUCUUAUUUCUGAAUAAUGGUUGUUAAACAUUUGCCAGCACACCAUAAGGCUUAGGGAGGCAUCUGGGUCAUGCAUGUUAAUAUCCUUGGGUAAUUCCAGAAAUCUCUAUGAAGGGAAACUCCUGUUAUUUAUCUAGACUUCCUGAUUGCAAGGGGUUUGGGCAUCAUGAUUUAGGGGUCUUAAUAAAAUUAUUAUUUUAUUUUUACUAAUAGAUAAUGUCUGUGCCUAUCAGAUAAAGGCAAACCAGUGCUCAGAGGAACCCAACCAUCUCUGAAUUGAGACCAGAGAGCUGUCUCUAUGGAUAGUCCUUAGAGAAGGCAUUUCGGAACACAGUAAACAGCAGCCUGGUGACUCCGAUUACAGGGCCAGUUGCCUUUGUUACAAUAAAAGCAAGUCAUCUACACAGGCUGGAGUGUAGUGCCAUGAUCUCGGCCCGCUGCGAUCCCCACCUCCUGGGUUCAAGUGAUUCUCCUGCCUCAGCCUCCUGAGUAGCUGGGAUUACAGGCAUCCGCCA